This 428-nucleotide ribosomal RNA is filed under the name uncultured Myxococcales bacterium. RNAcentral describes it as "bacterial SSU rRNA". It matches the Rfam family "Bacterial small subunit ribosomal RNA", at positions 355 to 776 of the family's 1533-position model. The record is from RNAcentral. Lineage: Bacteria; Pseudomonadati; Myxococcota; Myxococcia; Myxococcales.
UGGGGAAUCUUGCGCAAUGGGCGAAAGCCUGACGCAGCGACGCCGCGUGAGCGAUGAAGGCCCUCGGGUUGUAAAGCUCUGUGGGGAGAGACGAAUAAGGUGAAGCUAACACCUUCAUUGAUGACGGUAUCUCUUUAGCAAGCACCGGCUAACUCUGUGCCAGCAGCCGCGGUAAGACAGAGGGUGCAAACGUUGUUCGGAAUUACUGGGCGUAAAGCGCGUGUAGGUGGUCUCGCAAGUCGGAUGUGAAAUCCCAGGGCUCAACCCUGGAAGAGCACCCGAAACUGCAAGACUGGAGUCCUGGAGAGGAAGGUGGAAUGCUUGGUGUAGAGGUGAAAUUCGUAGAUAUCAAGCGGAACACCAGUGGCGAAGGCGGCCUUCUGGACAGUGACUGACACUGAGACGCGAAAGCGUGGGGAGCAAACAGG